CCUACGGGAGGCUGCAGUGGGGAAUAUUGGACAAUGGGCGAAAGCCUGAUCCAGCCAUGCCGCGUGUGUGAAGAAGGCCUUCGGGUUGUAAAGCACUUUCAGUGGGGAAGAAAGCCUUGGGGCUAAUACCCUCGAGGAAGGACAUCACCCACAGAAGAAGCACCGGCUAACUCCGUGCCAGCAGCCGCGGUAAUACGGAGGGUGCGAGCGUUAAUCGGAAUUACUGGGCGUAAAGCGCGCGUAGGCGGUCUGAUAAGCCGGUUGUGAAAGCCCCGGGCUCAACCUGGGAACGGCAUCCGGAACUGUCAGGCUAGAGUGCAGGAGAGGAAGGUAGAAUUCCCGGUGUAGCGGUGAAAUGCGUAGAGAUCGGGAGGAAUACCAGUGGCGAAGGCGGCCUUCUGGACCGACACUGACGCUGAGGUGCGAAAGCGUGGGUAGCAAACAGGAUUAGAUACCCUAGUAGUC
Molecule: ribosomal RNA, 465 nt
Filed under: Vreelandella stevensii
Lineage: Bacteria; Pseudomonadati; Pseudomonadota; Gammaproteobacteria; Oceanospirillales; Halomonadaceae
Description: partial 16S ribosomal RNA
Rfam family: Bacterial small subunit ribosomal RNA
Source: RNAcentral